Molecule: ribosomal RNA, 253 nt
Filed under: uncultured bacterium
Lineage: Bacteria
Description: partial 16S ribosomal RNA
Rfam family: Bacterial small subunit ribosomal RNA
Source: RNAcentral
UACGUACGAGGCGAGCGUUAUCCGGAAUUACUGGGCGUAAAGAGCGUGUAGGCGGCCAGGUAGGUCUGCUGUGAAAACUCGAGGCUCAACCUCGAGACGUCGGCGGAAACCAUCUGGCUAGAGUCCGGAAGAGGAGAGUGGAAUUCCUGGUGUAGCGGUGAAAUGCGCAGAUAUCAGGAAGAACACCAGUGGCGAAGGCGGCCCGCUGGGCAGUGGCUGACGCUGAGGCGCGACAGCGUGGGGAGCAAACAGG